This is a long non-coding RNA of Manis javanica (Malayan pangolin), 326 nucleotides long. RefSeq lists it as uncharacterized. Lineage: Eukaryota; Metazoa; Chordata; Mammalia; Pholidota; Manidae. The record is from RefSeq and is a predicted model, not a curated record.
GGAGUAUCUGAGAAGCAGAUAUUGAGAAGCAGUAACAUAGGGGAAAGUUGGCCCAGCACAGCCACUGUCACAUUGCAGGCCUUUCUGCACCAGACUGUAAGCUCCAUGCAGGCAGCAACCUCGUCUCAGCAACGUGUGUCCCAAGCACCCAGCACAGAGCCUGACAUGAGAACCUCCUGUCCAGAACUCAGACAAUGCACAAUGGAGGAAAGGAUCAGGAAUCUAAGCUCAAACCACCAACCUGCUGUGUGACCUUGGACAAGCCACUUACCUCCUGAGGACCAGUUCCCUUAUAGUCAUCACCUCUUCUCCACAGAGUUCAUCUC